GACGAACGCUGGCGGCGUGCUUAACACAUGCAAGUCGAGCGGUAAGGCCCUUUCGGGGUACGACGAGCGGCGAACGGGUGAGUAACACGUGGGUGACCUGCCCUCAGCUCUGGGAUAAGCCUGGGAAACUGGGUCGUAAUACCGGAUAUGACUCCAUGACGCAUGUUGUGGGGUGGAAAGCCUUGUGCGGCUGAGGAUGGGCCCGCGGCCUAUCAGCUUGUUGGUGGGGUGAGGCCUACCAAGGCGACGACGGGUAGCCGGCCUGAGAGGGCGACCGGCCACACUGGGACUGAGACACGGCCCAGACUCCUACGGGAGGCAGCAGUGGGGAAUCUUGCGCAAUGGGCGAAAGCCUGACGCAGCGACGCCGCGUGAGGGAUGACGGCC
This 387-nucleotide ribosomal RNA is filed under the name uncultured bacterium. RNAcentral describes it as "bacterial SSU rRNA". It matches the Rfam family "Bacterial small subunit ribosomal RNA", at positions 28 to 416 of the family's 1533-position model. The record is from RNAcentral.